Molecule: ribosomal RNA, 320 nt
Filed under: uncultured eukaryote
Lineage: Eukaryota
Description: partial 18S ribosomal RNA
Rfam family: Eukaryotic small subunit ribosomal RNA
Source: RNAcentral
CCCCUAGAUGUUCUGGGCCGCACGCGCGCUACACUGAACAGUUCAACAAGUCUUAACCUUGGCCGAUAGGUCUGGGUAAUCUUUGAACGCUGUUCGUGAUUGGGAUAGACCUUUGCAAUUAUGGGUCUUCAACGAGGAAUUCCUAGUAAACGCAAGUCAUCAGCUUGCAGUGAUUACGUCCCUGCCCUUUGUACACACCGCCCGUCGCACCUACCGAUUGAAUGGUCCGGUGAAAUCUCGGGACGGCGGCUUGGUCGCUUGCGUCCGACUGCUGAAACUUGAUUAAACCAUAUCAUUUAGAGGAAGGUGAAGUCGUAACA